UACGGAGGGUGCAAGCGUUAAUCGGCAUUACUGGGCGUAAAGCGCACGCAGGUGGCUGAGUCAGUCGAUUGUGAAAGCCCUGGGCUUAACCUGGGAAUUGCAGUCGAUACUACUCAGCUGGAGUAUGGGAGAGGGUAGUGGAAUUCCCGGUGUAGCGGUGAAAUGCGUAGAUAUCGGGAGGAACAUCAGUGGCGAAGGCGGCUACCUGGCCCAAUACUGACACUCAGGUGCGACAGCGUGGGGAGCAAACAGG
RNAcentral lists this ribosomal RNA (253 nucleotides) under uncultured bacterium. Its description in RNAcentral is "partial 16S ribosomal RNA". It matches the Rfam family "Bacterial small subunit ribosomal RNA", at positions 524 to 776 of the family's 1533-position model. The record is from RNAcentral.